ACAAGUGAAGCAACUGCGCAAGGGUCUAAAAGAGACUCAUCUCUGGCAUCUCAUGACAGAAAAACCUGAUGUGGUACCCUUAAUUUUUCCAAGGGAGAAGGAUGCCUCAUUGACUUCAGAGGCCAUUCUACGUGUAAUUACCUGGCCCAGUGCUACAGAUGACGACUCUGAAGAUGAAUGUCCAGUCGAAACUACAAGUCGCAUAACAGGAUACCUUCGUGAAUUUAUUGAGAAUGCAUCCAGCAAUGACCGGAAAGAACUGCUGCGUUUUUGGACUGGAUGGGAGGUCUUGCCCCGUGAACUCAUUGUCGCGAUGACUUCAUCAAA
Neoarius graeffei (lesser salmon catfish) is the source of this 327-nucleotide long non-coding RNA. RefSeq lists it as uncharacterized. The transcript has 3 exons. The record is from RefSeq and is a predicted model, not a curated record. NCBI's taxonomy places the organism in Eukaryota, Metazoa, Chordata, Actinopteri, Siluriformes, Ariidae.